Molecule: ribosomal RNA, 483 nt
Filed under: uncultured bacterium
Lineage: Bacteria
Description: partial 16S ribosomal RNA
Rfam family: Bacterial small subunit ribosomal RNA
Source: RNAcentral
GACGAACGCUGGCGGCGUGCUUAACACAUGCAAGUCGAACGAUGAUCAGGAGCUUGCUCCUGUGAUUAGUGGCGAACGGGUGAGUAACACGUGAGUAACCUGCCCCUGGCUCUGGGAUAAGCGUUGGAAACGACGUCUAAUACUGGAUGCGACUGCCGGCCGCAUGGUCUGGUGGUGGAAAGAUUUUUUGGUUGGGGAUGGACUCGCGGCCUAUCAGCUUGUUGGUGAGGUAAUGGCUCACCAAGGCGACGACGGGUAGCCGGCCUGAGAGGGUGACCGGCCACACUGGGACUGAGACACGGCUCAGACUCCUACGGGAGGCAGCAGUGGGGAAUAUUGCACAAUGGGCGAAAGCCUGAUGCAGCAACGCCGCGUGAGGGAUGACGGCCUUCGGGUUGUAAACCUCUUUUAGUAGGGAAGAAGCGAAAGUGACGGUACCUGCAGAAAAAGCACCGGCUAACUACGUGCCAGCAGCCGCCGCGG